Molecule: ribosomal RNA, 497 nt
Filed under: uncultured bacterium
Lineage: Bacteria
Description: partial 16S ribosomal RNA
Rfam family: Bacterial small subunit ribosomal RNA
Source: RNAcentral
GAUGAACGCUGGCGGCGUGCCUAAUACAUGCAAGUCGAGCGAACAGAUGAGGAGCUUGCUCCUCUGACGUUAGCGGCGGACGGGUGAGUAACACGUGGAUAACCUACCUAUAAGACUUGGAUAACUUCGUGAAACCGGAGCUACUACCGGAUAAUAUAUUGAACCGCAUGGUUCAAUAGUGAAAGACGGUUUUGCUGUCACUUAUAGAUGGAUCCGCGCCGCAUUAGCUAGUUGGUAAGGUAACGGCUUACCAAGGCAACGAUGCGUAGCCGACCUGAGAGGGUGAUCGGCCACACUGGAACUGAGACACGGUCCAGACUCCUACGGGAGGCAGCAGUAGGGAAUCUUCCGCAAUGGGCGAAAGCCUGACGGAGCAACGCCGCGUGAGUGAUGAAGGUCUUCGGAUCGUAAAACUCUGUUAUUAGGGAAGAACAAAUGUGUAAGUAAAUAUGCACGUCUUGACGGUACCUAAUCAGAAAGCCACGGCUAACUACGUG